RNAcentral lists this ribosomal RNA (339 nucleotides) under uncultured bacterium. Its description in RNAcentral is "bacterial SSU rRNA". It matches the Rfam family "Bacterial small subunit ribosomal RNA", at positions 28 to 355 of the family's 1533-position model. The record is from RNAcentral.
GACGAACGCUGGCGGCGUGCCUAACACAUGCAAGUCGAGCGAUUCAGAAGUCGGGUAUCAAUCCGACCUCUGGAUAGCGGCGGACGGGUGAGUAACACGUGGGUAAUCUGCCCUACGGACCGGGAUAACACACCGAAAGGGGUGCUAAUACCGGAUAAAGUCAUCAUAUGGCAUCAUAAGAUGAAGAAAGGAGAAAUCCGCCAAAGGAGGAGCCCGCGUCCCAUUAGUUAGUUGGCGGGGUAAAAGCCCACCAAGGCGACGAUGGGUAGCCGGGCCUGAGAGGGUGAACGGCCACACUGGGACUGAGACACGGCCCAGACUCCUACGGGAGGCAGCAUG